RNAcentral lists this microRNA precursor (552 nucleotides) under Dimocarpus longan. RNAcentral's name for it is "precursor microRNA MIR166". The stretch from base 175 to 275 matches the Rfam family "mir-166 microRNA precursor family". The record is from RNAcentral. Lineage: Eukaryota; Viridiplantae; Streptophyta; Magnoliopsida; Sapindales; Sapindaceae.
AAAGCAGUAGAAAAAAGUGGUGCAGCUCCCACAGAGAGAUACUCAAACUCACCUUUACAUAUAGAAGACCCCUGAAGGACAAUGCAUGACCAAUUCAAUAUCAAACAGUCCUCUCCUUGUCCCCUCUUUCUAUAUAUAUCUAUCUUUCUUCUUCUUCUUCUUCUCUAUCUCAUUGUUGUGGGGAAUGCUGUCUGGUUCGAGACCAUUCGCUUACAAGUUAAGUUCAUGGCAUCAUCUUCUUGAAUGAUCUCGGACCAGGCUUCAUUCCCCUCAACUCAACACCUCUCUGCAGCCAAUUCAACUUCUUCAUGCAUUGAUAUUUAUAUAGAUCAUCAGAUGUUGCCUUCCAUUUGAAUCAUCUUCAUCUUUAUCACAUUCUACUUUUCUUUUUUCGUUGUAUUUGCACCUUGAAGCAUAUAAGAUGUUCUGGCAUCAGACAAUCUGAGAUACAGGCCACAUGUUAUAUAUUGUUUUACUCUAUGUAUUCUAAUGAAGCACGAUCAAGGGAGAUCCAUUUUUUAAAAAAAAAAAAAAAAAAAAAAAAAAAAAAAA